RNAcentral lists this transfer RNA (66 nucleotides) under Harpiocephalus harpia (hairy-winged bat). RNAcentral's name for it is "tRNA-Lys". It matches the Rfam family "tRNA". Rfam says of the family: Transfer RNA (tRNA) molecules are approximately 80 nucleotides in length. Their secondary structure includes four short double-helical elements and three loops (D, anti-codon, and T loops). The record is from RNAcentral. Lineage: Eukaryota; Metazoa; Chordata; Mammalia; Chiroptera; Vespertilionidae.
CAUUAAGAAGCUAAGUAGCAUUAACCUUUUAAGUUAAAGAUUAGGAGUUUAAAGUCCUCUUAAUGA